Hyalella azteca is the source of this 542-nucleotide long non-coding RNA. RefSeq lists it as uncharacterized. The transcript has 2 exons. NCBI's taxonomy places the organism in Eukaryota, Metazoa, Arthropoda, Malacostraca, Amphipoda, Hyalellidae. The record is from RefSeq and is a predicted model, not a curated record.
UAACCUCGUGUUGCUUGAAUUUUUGGAAAUAAUUCAGUAAUUUUAUUAAGAUGCAAGCUGAAAUUCGUUCCUCUUACUAGAUUACCGUAGCAGUGAUUCAUGAUCUCUUUGAGUGGCGGGUGGACGUGGGCACCAGGUUUACCUUCGAGCUCGAGGGUCAGAGCACUUCGGAUUAGCUCCUUAUUUGAAAUUCCCUCGGUAACAGAAGAUUUGAAGCGAAUUAUCUUCACCUGAGGACGAACCCUGUAUUAGUGUGAUCUGGAAGUCCUCGCUUUCCGUGAUUUGACGUGCAGACCAAUUUGUCAACUGUGGUAUUGGUCCUCAUAACGCAAAUGGUUAUCCCUGCUUUUCGUGUAAUCAAUUUUGCUAUGGGUCAUCCGUUCGUUUAUGUAUUGAGUUAGGUUUCCGGUAAGAAGGGCUUUUUUGUGUGCACCUGUUAGCAUGUCUUGUCUAUAGGGACCAAUAUGUUGCUCGAGGCAAGCUAGGGUUGAGCUAUUUUGAAGUUCCCAAUACAGCUAUGCAGCUCUAGUUAGUGAAAAGUC